UUAAGUUAUUAAGGGCGCACGGUGGAUGCCUUGGCACUAGAAGCCGAUGAAGGACGUUACUAACGACGAUAUGCUUUGGGGAGCUGUAAGUAAGCUUUGAUCCAGAGAUUUCCGAAUGGGGAAACCCAGCAUGAGUUAUGUCAUGUUAUCGAUAUGUGAAUACAUAGCAUAUCAGAAGGCACACCCGGAGAACUGAAACAUCUUAGUACCCGGAGGAAGAGAAAGAAAAUUCGAUUCCCUUAGUAGCGGCGAGCGAAACGGGAAGAGCCCAAACCAACAAGCUUGCUUGUUGGGGUUGUAGGACACUCUAUACGGAGUUACAAAGGACGACAUUAGACGAAUCAUCUGGAAAGAUGAAUCAAAGAAGGUAAUAAUCCUGUAGUCGAAAAUGUUGUCUCUCUUGAGUGGAUCCUGAGUACGACGGAGCACGUGAAAUUCCGUCGGAAUCUGGGAGGACCAUCUCCUAAGGCUAAAUACUCUCUAGUGACCGAUAGUGAACCAGUACCGUGAGGGAAAGGUGAAAAGCACCCCGGAAGGGGAGUGAAAUAGAACCUGAAACCGUGUGCUUACAAGUAGUCAGAGCCCGUUAAUGGGUGAUGGCGUGCCUUUUGUAGAAUGAACCGGCGAGUUACGAUUUGAUGCAAGGUUAAGCAGUAAAUGUGGAGCCGUAGCGAAAGCGAGUCUGAAUAGGGCGUUUAGUAUUUGGUCGUAGACCCGAAACCAGGUGAUCUACCCUUGGUCAGGUUGAAGUUCAGGUAACACUGAAUGGAGGACCGAACCGACUUACGUUGAAAAGUGAGCGGAUGAACUGAGGGUAGCGGAGAAAUUCCAAUCGAACCUGGAGAUAGCUGGUUCUCUCCGAAAUAGCUUUAGGGCUAGCCUCAAGUGAUGAUUAUUGGAGGUAGAGCACUGUUUGGACGAGGGGCCCGUCUCGGGUUACCGAAUUCAGACAAACUCCGAAUGCCAAUUAAUUUAACUUGGGAGUCAGAACAUGGGUGAUAAGGUCCGUGUUCGAAAGGGAAACAGCCCAGACCACCAGCUAAGGUCCCAAAAUAUAUGUUAAGUGGAAAAGGAUGUGGCGUUGCCCAGACAACUAGGAUGUUGGCUUAGAAGCAGCCAUCAUUUAAAGAGUGCGUAAUAGCUCACUAGUCGAGUGACACUGCGCCGAAAAUGUACCGGGGCUAAACAUAUUACCGAAGCUGUGGAUUGUCCUUUGGACAAUGGUAGGAGAGCGUUCUAAGGGCGUUGAAGCAUGAUCGUAAGGACAUGUGGAGCGCUUAGAAGUGAGAAUGCCGGUGUGAGUAGCGAAAGACGGGUGAGAAUCCCGUCCACCGAUUGAAUAAGGUUUCCAGAGGAAGGCUCGUCCGCUCUGGGUUAGUCGGGUCCUAAGCUGAGGCCGACAGGCGUAGGCGAUGGAUAACAGGUUGAUAUUCCUGUACCACCUAUAAUCGUUUUAAUCGAUGGGGGGACGCAGUAGGAUAGGCGAAGCGUGCGAUUGGAUUGCACGUCUAAGCAGUAAGGCUGAGUAUUAGGCAAAUCCGGUACUCGUUAAGGCUGAGCUGUGAUGGGGAGAAGACAUUGAGUCUUCGAGUCGUUGAUUUCACACUGCCGAGAAAAGCCUCUAGAUAGAAAAUAGGUGCCCGUACCGCAAACCGACACAGGUAGUCAAGAUGAGAAUUCUAAGGUGAGCGAGCGAACUCUCGUUAAGGAACUCGGCAAAAUGACCCCGUAACUUCGGGAGAAGGGGUGCUCUUUAGGGUUAACGCCCAGAAGAGCCGCAGUGAAUAGGCCCAAGCGACUGUUUAUCAAAAACACAGGUCUCUGCUAAACCGUAAGGUGAUGUAUAGGGGCUGACGCCUGCCCGGUGCUGGAAGGUUAAGAGGAGUGGUUAGCUUCUGCGAAGCUACGAAUCGAAGCCCCAGUAAACGGCGGCCGUAACUAUAACGGUCCUAAGGUAGCGAAAUUCCUUGUCGGGUAAGUUCCGACCCGCACGAAAGGCGUAACGAUUUGGGCACUGUCUCAACGAGAGACUCGGUGAAAUCAUAGUACCUGUGAAGAUGCAGGUUACCCGCGACAGGACGGAAAGACCCCGUGGAGCUUUACUGUAGCCUGAUAUUGAAAUUCGGCACAGCUUGUACAGGAUAGGUAGGAGCCUUUGAAACGUGAGCGCUAGCUUACGUGGAGGCGCUGGUGGGAUACUACCCUAGCUGUGUUGGCUUUCUAACCCGCACCACUUAUCGUGGUGGGAGACAGUGUCAGGCGGGCAGUUUGACUGGGGCGGUCGCCUCCUAAAAGGUAACGGAGGCGCUCAAAGGUUCCCUCAGAAUGGUUGGAAAUCAUUCAUAGAGUGUAAAGGCAUAAGGGAGCUUGACUGCGAGACCUACAAGUCGAGCAGGGUCGAAAGACGGACUUAGUGAUCCGGUGGUUCCGCAUGGAAGGGCCAUCGCUCAACGGAUAAAAGCUACCCCGGGGAUAACAGGCUUAUCUCCCCCAAGAGUUCACAUCGACGGGGAGGUUUGGCACCUCGAUGUCGGCUCAUCGCAUCCUGGGGCUGUAGUCGGUCCCAAGGGUUGGGCUGUUCGCCCAUUAAAGCGGUACGCGAGCUGGGUUCAGAACGUCGUGAGACAGUUCGGUCCCUAUCCGUCGUGGGCGUAGGAAAUUUGAGAGGAGCUGUCCUUAGUACGAGAGGACCGGGAUGGACAUACCUCUGGUGUACCAGUUGUCGUGCCAACGGCAUAGCUGGGUAGCUAUGUGUGGACGGGAUAAGUGCUGAAAGCAUCUAAGCAUGAAGCCCCCCUCAAGAUGAGAUUUCCCAACUUCGGUUAUAAGAUCCCUCAAAGAUGAUGAGGUUAAUAGGUUCGAGGUGGAAGCAUGGUGACAUGUGGAGCUGACGAAUACUAAUCGAUCGAAGACUUAAUCAA
RNAcentral lists this ribosomal RNA (2921 nucleotides) under Staphylococcus aureus. Its description in RNAcentral is "bacterial LSU rRNA". It matches the Rfam family "Bacterial large subunit ribosomal RNA". Lineage: Bacteria; Bacillati; Bacillota; Bacilli; Caryophanales; Staphylococcaceae. The record is from RNAcentral.